AGUUCGUGGAGUGAUCUGUCUGCUUAAUUGCGUUUCAAAUUUUUAACCGAGGACCGGGUUUUGGUUUGGCUAGUGGUCCUACGAUGACUGUGAACUGUCAUGUCUUCGGAUGUACGACUAUCGGUCUAGGAUCACAUGACUUGCCCCUGGGACUCUUUUGAACGCAACGGACGUGAUUGCAACCCCUUGUUGAGAUUAGAGAUAGUCUCGAUAUUCACUGGCCAAACUGGCUGCUUUAUGCAGUCUUGUUGAAUGGUGGAUAAACUCGGGGGACUGCUGACUAUAACCAUUUCUCAAAACAGAGGAAGGUUGCGGCAAUAACAGGUCUGUGAUGCCCUCAGAUGUCCCGGGCUGCACACGUGCUACAAUGAGUGGCGCAAUGUGCUAAUGUUUUAAGGGAUAAGCGUGCGGCCAGUAGAACGUCGGCAAUUGCCCUGGCGUCUUCUACCGCACGAUUAUCAGCCUUCCCUUAACAGGGCGGGCAACCUUUUCAAAAUACCGGUUUGAUGGUAAAGUAUAGAGUCGUUUUUUUUGGAUGGUGGUUUACGAACCAAUACCAUCCGCAACUGCUCGCGAGUUUGUGGUUCUGGUGACUCA
This 597-nucleotide ribosomal RNA is filed under the name Globigerinoides ruber albus. Its description in RNAcentral is "partial small subunit ribosomal RNA". It matches the Rfam family "Eukaryotic small subunit ribosomal RNA", at positions 1296 to 1605 of the family's 1831-position model. The record is from RNAcentral. Lineage: Eukaryota; Foraminifera; Rotaliida; Globigerinidae.